UGGGGAAUAUUGCACAAUGGGCGCAAGCCUGAUGCAGCAACGCCGCGUGAGGGAUGACGGCCUUCGGGUUGUAAACCUCUUUUAGCAGGGAAGAAGCGAAAGUGACGGUACCUGCAGAAAAAGCGCCGGCUAACUACGUGCCAGCAGCCGCAGUAAUACGUAGGGCGCAAGCGUUAUCCGGAAUUAUUGGGCGUAAAGAGCUCGUAGGCGGUUUGUCGCGUCUGCUGUGAAAUCCCGAGGCUCAACCUCGGGUCUGCAGUGGGUACGGGCAGACUAGAGUGCGGUAGGGGAGAUUGGAAUUCCUGGUGUAGCGGUGGAAUGCGCAGAUAUCAGGAGGAACACCGAUGGCGAAGGCAGAUCUCUGGGCCGUAACUGGCGCUGAGGAGCGAAAGGGUGGGGAGCAAACAGGCUUAGAUACCCUGGUGAGUCCACCCCGUAAACGUUGGGAACUAGUUGUGGGGUCCAUUCCACGGAUUCCGUGACGCAGCUGAACGCAUU
RNAcentral lists this ribosomal RNA (498 nucleotides) under uncultured bacterium. RNAcentral's name for it is "partial 16S ribosomal RNA". It matches the Rfam family "Bacterial small subunit ribosomal RNA", at positions 355 to 861 of the family's 1533-position model. The record is from RNAcentral.